UACGUAGGGGGCGAGCGUUGUUCGGAGUUACUGGGCGUAAAGGGUGUGUAGGCGGUUCUUUAAGUUUGGUGUGAAAUCUCCCGGCUCAACCGGGAGGGUGCGCCGAAUACUGAGGGACUCGAGUGCGGGAGAGGAAAGUGGAAUUCCUGGUGUAGCGGUGAAAUGCGUAGAUAUCAGGAGGAACACCGGUGGUGUAGACGGCUUUCUGGACCGUAACUGACGCUGAGACACGAAAGCGUGGGUAGCAAACAGG
RNAcentral lists this ribosomal RNA (253 nucleotides) under uncultured bacterium. RNAcentral's name for it is "partial 16S ribosomal RNA". It matches the Rfam family "Bacterial small subunit ribosomal RNA", at positions 524 to 776 of the family's 1533-position model. The record is from RNAcentral.